GCCAGGCGUUGUGGUGGGCGCCUGUGGUCCUAGCUACUUGGGAGGCUGAGACAGGAGACUCACUUGAGCCCAGGAGUUGGAGGUUGCUGUGAGCUGUGAUGCCAUGGCACUCUACCUAGGGGGACAGCUUGAGGCUCUGUCUCAAAAAUAAAUAAAUAAAUAAACAGACAUAUCUUGAAACAUCCCUUUCUGCUGAUUCCAAGCCUUUAGACAAACUUUUAUUUCUUUUUUUUUUUUUUUUUGAGACAGAGCCUCAAGCUGUCCCCCUGGGUAGAGUGCUAUGGCAUCACAGCUCACAGCAACUUCCAACUCCUGGGCUCAAGCGAGUCUCCUGCCUCAG
Non-coding RNA from Otolemur garnettii (small-eared galago), 340 nucleotides. NCBI's taxonomy places the organism in Eukaryota, Metazoa, Chordata, Mammalia, Primates, Galagidae. The record is from Rfam.